UCNNGCCAUGCCGCGUGUAGGAAGACUGCCCUAUGGGUUGUAAACUACUUUUAUAUGGGAAGAAUAAGGUCUACGUGUAGACUGAUGACGGUACCAUAAGAAUAAGCACCGGCUAACUCCGUGCCAGCAGCCGCGGUAAUACGGAGGGUGCAAGCGUUAUCCGGAAUCAUUGGGUUUAAAGGGUCCGUAGGCGGGCAUAUAAGUCAGUGGUGAAAGUCUGUGGCUCAACCAUAGAAUUGCCAUUGAUACUGUAUGUCUUGAAUUAUUGUGAAGUGGUUAGAAUAUGUAGUGUAGCGGUGAAAUGCUUAGAGAUUACAUAGAAUACCGAUUGCGAAGGCAGAUCACUAACAAUAUAUUGACGCUGAUGGACGAAAGCGUAGGUAGCGAACAGGAUUAGAUACCCNGGUAG
Molecule: ribosomal RNA, 409 nt
Filed under: Dokdonia sp. Asnod3E03
Lineage: Bacteria; Pseudomonadati; Bacteroidota; Flavobacteriia; Flavobacteriales; Flavobacteriaceae
Description: bacterial SSU rRNA
Rfam family: Bacterial small subunit ribosomal RNA
Source: RNAcentral